RNAcentral lists this ribosomal RNA (424 nucleotides) under uncultured bacterium. Its description in RNAcentral is "bacterial SSU rRNA". It matches the Rfam family "Bacterial small subunit ribosomal RNA", at positions 355 to 771 of the family's 1533-position model. The record is from RNAcentral.
UGGGGAAUCUUGGACAAUGGGGGCAACCCUGAUCCAGCGACGCCGCGUGAGUGAAGAAGGCCUUCGGGUUGUAAAGCUCUUUCAGACGGAAAGAAAUCGGGCGGGUGAAUAGCCUGCCUGGAUGACGGUACUGUCAGAAGAAGCACCGGCUAACUACGUGCCAGCAGCCGCGGUAAUACGUAGGGUGCGAGCGUUAAUCGGAAUUACUGGGCGUAAAGCGUGCGCAGGCGGUUGUGUAAGACAGGUGUGAAAUCCCCGGGCUUAACCUGGGAACUGCGCUUGUGACUGCACGGCUAGAGUACGGCAGAGGGGGGUGGAAUUCCACGUGUAGCAGUGAAAUGCGUAGAUAUGUGGAGGAACACCGAUGGCGAAGGCAGCCCCCUGGGCCGAUACUGACGCUCAUGCACGAAAGCGUGGGGAGCAA